Molecule: ribosomal RNA, 433 nt
Filed under: uncultured bacterium
Lineage: Bacteria
Description: partial 16S ribosomal RNA
Rfam family: Bacterial small subunit ribosomal RNA
Source: RNAcentral
AACGAACGCUGGCGGCAUGCCUAACACAUGCAAGUCGAACGAGACCUUCGGGUCUAGUGGCGCACGGGUGCGUAACGCGUGGGAACCUGCCCUUAGGUUCGGAAUAACUCCCCGAAAGGGGUGCUAAUACCGGAUAAUGUCUUCGGACCAAAGAUUUAUCGCCUUUGGAUGGGCCCGCGUUGGAUUAGCUUGUUGGUAGGGUAAAAGCCUACCAAGGCGACGAUCCAUAGCUGGUCUGAGAGGAUGAUCAGCCACACUGGGACUGAGACACGGCCCAGACUCCUACGGGAGGCAGCAGUGGGGAAUAUUGGACAAUGGGCGAGAGCCUGAUCCAGCAAUGCCGCGUGAGUGAUGAAGGCCUUAGGGUUGUAAAGCUCUUUUACCCGGGAUGAUAAUGACAGUACCGGGAGAAUAAGCUCCGGCUAACUCCGUG